GAUGAAGAACGUAGCAAAAUGCGAUACUUGGUGUGAAUUGCAGAAUCCCGUGAACCAUCGAGUUUUUGAACGCAAGUUGCGCCCGAAGCCUUUUGGCCGAGGGCACGUCUGCCUGGGCGUCACGCAUCGCGUCGCCCCCCACAAUUCUCCGUAAAGGGAACAUGUGUUUUGGGGGCGGAUAUUGGUCUCCCGUGCUCAUGGCGUGGUUGGCCGAAAUAGGUGUCCUUUCGAUGGACGCACGAACUAGUGGUGGUCGUAAAAACCCUCGUCUUUUGUUUCGUGCUGUUGGUCGCAAGGUAAACUCUUUUAAAACCCCAAUGUGUCGUCUCUUGACGACGCUUCGACCGCGACCCCAGGUCAGGCGGGACUACCCGCUGAGUUUAAGCAUAUCAAUAAGCGGAGGA
RNAcentral lists this unclassified non-coding RNA (404 nucleotides) under soil metagenome. Its description in RNAcentral is "partial contains 5.8S ribosomal RNA, internal transcribed spacer 2, and large subunit ribosomal RNA". The stretch from base 1 to 122 matches the Rfam family "5.8S ribosomal RNA", at positions 35 to 154 of the family's 154-position model. The record is from RNAcentral.